GCCUGGGUGGCUCAGUCGGUUAAGCGUCUGACUUCGGCUCAGGUCACGAUCUCACGGUUUGUGAGUUUGAGCCCCACAUCAGGCU
RNAcentral lists this transfer RNA (85 nucleotides) under Felis catus (domestic cat). It matches the Rfam family "tRNA". Rfam says of the family: Transfer RNA (tRNA) molecules are approximately 80 nucleotides in length. Their secondary structure includes four short double-helical elements and three loops (D, anti-codon, and T loops). Lineage: Eukaryota; Metazoa; Chordata; Mammalia; Carnivora; Felidae. The record is from Rfam by way of RNAcentral.